RNAcentral lists this non-coding RNA (95 nucleotides) under uncultured Sporosarcina sp. RNAcentral describes it as "pan motif". It matches the Rfam family "pan motif". The record is from RNAcentral. Lineage: Bacteria; Bacillati; Bacillota; Bacilli; Caryophanales; Caryophanaceae.
GGGCAGUAUCAACCGGAACUGCACCUGUAACUAUCGUUAGAACGUUACUAAUUGAAUAGUAUCUGCCUUGAUCUUGUAAAAGACAGGGACGGAGG